This 373-nucleotide unclassified non-coding RNA is filed under the name uncultured Sphingobacteriales bacterium. RNAcentral describes it as "contains 16S-23S intergenic spacer region". Lineage: Bacteria; Pseudomonadati; Bacteroidota; Sphingobacteriia; Sphingobacteriales. The record is from RNAcentral.
UCACCGCUUGCGCGGGCAGUCUCAUUAGAGUCCCCAGCUUUACCUGUUGGCAACUAAUGAAAGGGGUUGCGCUCGUUACGGGACUUAACCCAACACCUCACGGCACGAGCUGACGACAGCCAUGCAGCACCUAGUUUUGUGCCCCGAAGGGAAUUCCGGUUUCCCGGAACGUCACUAACUUUCAAGCCCAGGUAAGGUUCCUCGCGUAUCAUCGAAUUAAACCACAUGCUCCUCCGCUUGUGCGGGCCCCCGUCAAUUCCUUUGAGUUUCAAUCUUGCGACCGUACUCCCCAGGUGGAUUACUUAAUGCUUUCGCUCAGACGCUAACGGUAUAUCGCUAACAUCGAGUAAUCAUCGUUUAGGGCGUGGACUAC